This 447-nucleotide ribosomal RNA is filed under the name uncultured bacterium. RNAcentral describes it as "partial 16S ribosomal RNA". It matches the Rfam family "Bacterial small subunit ribosomal RNA", at positions 29 to 523 of the family's 1533-position model. The record is from RNAcentral.
AGCGAACGCUGGCGGCAGGCUUAACACAUGCGAGUCGAACGGUCCUUUGGGAUAGUGGCGGACGGGUGAGUAACACGUGGGAACGUACCCUUAGGUUCGGAACAACACAGGGACACUUGUGCUAAUACCGGAUAAGCCCUUCGGGGGAAAGAUUUAUCGCCUUUGGAGCGGCCCGCGUCUGAUUAGCUUGUUGGUAGAGUAAUGGCUCACCAAGGCUACGGUCAGUAGCUGGUGUGAGUGGACGGCCAGCCACACUGGGACUGAGACACGGCCCAGACUCCUACGGGAGGCAGCAGUGGGGAAUCUUGCGCAAUGGGCGAAAGCAUGACGCAGCCAUGCCGCGUGGAUGAUGAAGGUCUUAGGAUUGUAAAAUCCUUUCACCGGGGACGAUAAUGACGGUACCCGGAGAAGAAGCCCCGGCUAACUUCGUGCCAGCCGCCGCGGUAA